GGGCGAUUAGCUCAGUUAGUUAGAGCGCACCCCUGAUAAGGGUGAGGUCAUCCGUGCAACUCGGAUAUCGCCCA
This 74-nucleotide transfer RNA is filed under the name Elusimicrobiota bacterium. Its description in RNAcentral is "Elusimicrobia bacterium (groundwater metagenome) tRNA-Ile". It matches the Rfam family "tRNA". Rfam says of the family: Transfer RNA (tRNA) molecules are approximately 80 nucleotides in length. Lineage: Bacteria; Pseudomonadati; Elusimicrobiota. The record is from RNAcentral.